Molecule: small nuclear RNA, 107 nt
Filed under: Clonorchis sinensis
Lineage: Eukaryota; Metazoa; Platyhelminthes; Trematoda; Opisthorchiida; Opisthorchiidae
Source: RNAcentral
GCUGUUUACAUACUGCCUCACAUGCUAAAACUGGAACGAUACAGAAAAGACUUCCCUGGCCUCUGAGCGAAAAAGACACGCAAAAUCACGAUGCGUUUCAUAUUUUU